CAGUCGCCGCGGGAAUACGGAGGGUGCAAGCGUUAAUCGGAAUUACUGGGCGUAAAGCGCACGCAGGCGGUCUGACAAGUCAGAUGUGAAAUCCCCGGGCUUAACCUGGGAACUGCAUUUGAAACUGUCAGGCUGGAGUCUUGUAGAGGGGGGUAGAAUUCCAGGUGUAGCGGUGAAAUGCGUAGAGAUCUGGAGGAAUACCGGUGGCGAAGGCGGCCUCCUGGACAAAGACUGACGCUCAGGUGCGAAAGCGUGGGGAGCAAACAGGAUUAGAUACCCCAGUAGUCCCUGUCUCUUAUAC
RNAcentral lists this ribosomal RNA (301 nucleotides) under uncultured bacterium. Its description in RNAcentral is "partial 16S ribosomal RNA". It matches the Rfam family "Bacterial small subunit ribosomal RNA", at positions 509 to 807 of the family's 1533-position model. The record is from RNAcentral.